RNAcentral lists this long non-coding RNA (229 nucleotides) under Ursus maritimus (polar bear). RNAcentral describes it as "lncRNA (ENSUMAG00000005966.1)". Lineage: Eukaryota; Metazoa; Chordata; Mammalia; Carnivora; Ursidae. The record is from RNAcentral.
CUGGCGGUUGGUGAGUCGUCUUGGAAACCGCGCAGAAGCUCCUAAGCCGGUGUUCGAAACGGAGGAUGCAAAAAAAAAAAAAGCAAAAUAUCCAUGGUAUGACUUAAUGGAGCAUCAGUCCUACUGCCAGAUUUGGAAGGACCGAAGUUAAGUAAUUUCCAAGGUACCUGAUAUGUGGGACUCCCUCCUGCUGAGCCUGACCUUGACUUCAGGAUCCUUUCCAGCCAGG